UACGUAGGGUGCGAGCGUUAAUCGGAAUUACUGGGCGUAAAGCGUGCGUAGGCGGUUGGCAAAGUCAGCUGUGAAAGCCCCGGGCUUAACCUGGGAAUGGCGGUUGAAACUAGUCGACUCGAAUCUGGCAGAGGGGGGUGGAAUUCCACGUGUAGCAGUGAAAUGCGUAGGGAUGUGGAGGAACACCGAUGGCGAAGGCAGCCCCCUGGGCUGAGAUUGACGCUCAGGCACGAAAGCGUGGGGAGCAAACAGG
This 253-nucleotide ribosomal RNA is filed under the name uncultured bacterium. Its description in RNAcentral is "partial 16S ribosomal RNA". It matches the Rfam family "Bacterial small subunit ribosomal RNA", at positions 524 to 776 of the family's 1533-position model. The record is from RNAcentral.